CAGUAGAACGCUGAGACUGGUGCUUGCACCGGUCCAAGGAGUUGCGAACGGGUGAGUAACGCGUAGGUAACCUACCUCAUAGCGGGGGAUAACUAUUGGAAACGAUAGCUAAUACCGCAUAAAAGUGUUUAACACAUGUUAACCAUUUAAAAGGUGCAAUUGCAUCACUAUGAGAUGGACCUGCGUUGUAUUAGCUAGUUGGUGAGGUAACGGCUCACCAAGGCGACGAUACAUAGCCGACCUGAGAGGGUGAUCGGCCACACUGGGACUGAGACACGGCCCGGACUCCUACGGGAGGCAGCAGUAGGGAAUCUUCGGCAAUGGACGGAAGUCUGACCGAGCAACGCCGCGUGAGUGAAGAAGGUUUUCGGAUCGUAAAGCUCUGUUGUUAGAGAAGAAUGAUGGUGGGAGUGGAAAAUCCACCAUGUGACGGUAACUAACCAGAAAGGGACGGCUAACUACGUGCCAGCAGCCGCGGUAAUACGUAGGUCCCGAGCGUUGUCCGGAUUUAUUGGGCGUAAAGCGAGCGCAAGCGGUUCUUUAAGUCUGAAGUUAAAGGCAGUGGCUCAACCAUUGUACGCUUUGGAAACUGGA
RNAcentral lists this ribosomal RNA (594 nucleotides) under uncultured bacterium. Its description in RNAcentral is "bacterial SSU rRNA". It matches the Rfam family "Bacterial small subunit ribosomal RNA", at positions 59 to 637 of the family's 1533-position model. The record is from RNAcentral.